RNAcentral lists this ribosomal RNA (406 nucleotides) under uncultured bacterium. RNAcentral describes it as "partial 16S ribosomal RNA". It matches the Rfam family "Bacterial small subunit ribosomal RNA", at positions 30 to 526 of the family's 1533-position model. The record is from RNAcentral.
AUUGAACGCUGGCGGCAGGCCUAACACAUGCAAGUCGAACGAGUGGCGGACGGGUGAGUAAUGUCUGGGAAACUGCCUGAUGGCGGGGGAUAACUACUGGAAACAGUAGCUAAUACCGCAUACCAUCAGAUGUGCCCAGAUGGGAUUAGCUAGUUGGUGGGGUAACGGCUCACCAGGGCGACGAUCCCUAGCGGGUCUGAGAGGAGGACCAGCCACACUGGAACUGGGACACGGCCCAGACUCCUACGGGAGGCAGCAGUGGGGAAUUUUGCACAAUGGGCGCAACCCUGAUGCAGCCAUGCCUCGUGUAUGAAGAAGGCCUUCGGGUUGUAAAGUACUUUCAGCGGGGAGGCGUUACCCGAAGAGGAAGCCCCGGCUAACUCCGUGCCAGCCGCCGCGGUAAUUC